RNAcentral lists this ribosomal RNA (2878 nucleotides) under Monosiga brevicollis. RNAcentral describes it as "large subunit ribosomal RNA". It matches the Rfam family "Bacterial large subunit ribosomal RNA". Lineage: Eukaryota; Choanoflagellata; Craspedida; Salpingoecidae. The record is from RNAcentral.
AAUAAAAGUAAUAACGAGUAUUCGAGGAAUUGCUUGGGUUUAGAAUAAUAAGGUAAAAAAAAUAGUUCUAUUAGAGAAACUUUGAAAAUAGAAUAACCUAUCUAGAAAACUAGAUUAUAUUUAAUAAACUCUGUGAACUGAAACAUCUUAGUAACAGAAGGAAAAGAAAUCAAAAGAGAUUAAGUGAGUAGCGGUGAGCGAAAAUUUAAAUAGUCUUUUAAUCAUUAAAUUUAUCUUUAUAUUUUUGAGUGAAAACCAUAGAAGGUAAUAGUCCUGUAAUUAUAAAAUAAAGUUAUAAAAAUGAUUAAUAAAGUAGAAUAGUAACAAGUUUGAAAAAAGGAGUACCAUACUUCUAAGACUAAAUAUGAUUCUAAACACCGAUAGUGAACAAGUAACGUGAGUGAAAGCUGAAAAAGAUUUGCAAGGCAAAGUGAAAAGAACAUGAAUUCGAAUAUUUAUAAGCAAUCAAACAUAUAUAUUAAUAUAUGAAUGAUGUACCUUUUGUAUAAUGGAUUUGCAAGUUAUUUAUAUUAGCAAGUAUAAAUUGUUAUAAAUGUAUACUUAGGGAAACCAAGUGAAAAAAAGCGUUUAAGUUAAUAUAAAUAGGACCCGAAACCUUGUGAUCUUUCCAUGAUCAGUUUGAAAUAUAAGAUAAUAUCUUAUUGGAGGAACGAACCUGUAUUUGUUGCAAUAAAUUAGGAUGAAUUGUGGAAAGGGGUGAAAUGCUAAUCGAACAAGGAGAUAGCUGGUUAUCUGCGAAAUAGAUUUAGGUCUAGCGUUUAAUUAAUAAAUUAUAUGGUAAGGCUCUUAUGGAAUUUUUGGUAUUGUUAUGCAAUAUACUUAAUUCCUUUAACCCCAUUUUAUUAUAUUUUUAUAUAAAUUUUAAUUUUUUAUAAAUUUUAUAAAUUUUAUAAUUUUUAUAAAUUUUUAUUUUUUAUAUUAUUUAUAUAAUUUUUAAUAUAUAAUUUUUGUAUUUAUUAGGCAGACAGACUAAAGGUGAUAAGGUCUUUAGUCAAAAGGGAAACAGCCCUAAACAAUAGUUAAGGUCAUUAAUUUUUAUUAAGUGCUAAAGACCCGUUAUUUUACUUAUACAGCUAAUAAGUAGGCUUGGAAACAGCCAUCUUUUAAAAAAAACGUAACAGUUUAUUAGAAUUAGUAAAAUAGCAUCAAAAAUUAUGGUGACUAAAUAAAAAACCGAAACUUUGUUUGUAAUUAAUUUUUAAAUAUUAUUAAUUAUUUAUAAUUUUUAUAAAUUUAUUUUUAAUAUUUUUAUAUUUUUAUAUUUUUAUAUUUUUAAUAUUUUAAUAUAUUUUAAUAUAUACUAUAUAAAUUACAAGGUAGCAGAUCGUUUAGUUAAUUAAUUAAUUAAUAUAUUGUAAAAUAAACUAAAGUGACAAUGCAAAUAUGAGUAAUGAUAAUAUCUUUGAAAUUAAGAUACACCGUAAAUUCUAGGUUUCCAACUCACUGAAAAACAUAGUUGGUUGAUACAGUCCCUAAGUUAACAUAUUCGAAAGAAGUAAAAACAAUGGGUUGAUUUAUAAUGACUUUUAUAAUUUAAUUAUUAUGAAACUAGAAAUAAUAUAAAUCAUAUAAUACUGUACUAAAUCUGACACAAGUGAAUAGGUAGAAUAUACUAAGGUGAUAAUUUAAAUCUUUUUAGGGAACUCGGCAAAAUGAGUCCGUACGUUCGCAAUAAGGACUAUUUAUAUAAUUGAAUUAUUAUAUGAAUCUCAGUAAAUUGACAAGGUGGACUGUUUACCAAAAACACAGCUUAUAGAAACAUGAAAAUGGAAGUAUUAUAAGCGACCCCUGCCCAAUGAUUGUAUCUUAAAAUGAAAGGUGAAAGCUUUUUAUAUAAAGACAAUUUAAUGGCUGCGGUAACCAUGACCGUACUAAGGUAGCGCAAUCAAUCGUCUAUUAAUUGUAGACAAGUAUGAAUGGGGUAACCAACUUUGUACUGUCCUAAAAAGAAAAUUAAUGAAAUUGAAUUUGUAGUUAAGAUGCUACAUAAUAAUUACAAGACAAGAAGACCCUACGCAGCUUUACUGUUAUUAUUUACUGUAUUAAUGUUAUAUAUUUAUAGAAUAAUUGGGUUAUUCUAUGAUUUAAUAUACGUCAGUAUAUUAUUUAAGAAAUAAUUGAAAUACCAAUAUUAUAUAAACAUUAAUAUCUAACUUUACAAAAUAUUAAAUUAUUAAAAUUUAUUUUUUUUAUAUUUUUUAAUUUUUUAAUAAAAGGAACUUUAAAUAAGAGACAGUUUUAUUGGGGCGAUAGUCUUUUAAAAUGUAACAAAGACUUACAAUAGGUCUACUCAUAAUUAUUUGAAAUAAUUAGUAGAGCAUAAUCGUAUAAGUAGGCUUGACUGUGAAUCUGAUAAGAUAAACAGGUUCUAACGAAGGUGAUAGUGACCCGUUUAUAUUGAAUGGAAAAGUAAACGAUCAUAAGUUAAGUUACGCUAGGGAUAACAGCAUAAUUACAACAGAGAGUUCAUAUCGAUGUUGUAGUUUGUGACCUCGAUGUUGGAUUGCCAUAUCCUGAGGGUUGCAGUAGCUCUCAAGGGUUGGACUGUUCGUCCAGUAAUAUGGUACAUGAUCUGAGUUCAGGGCGUUGUGAAACAGCUCGGCUUAUAUCUGUAAUUAUGAAUUACUAAUUGUGUGGCUUUUUUUGUACGCAAGGAUCAAAAAGUCUAUCCCUAUGGUGUAUCUGUUGUUUAUAUAUAUAAGCAGCGCAGAGUAGCUACGGAUUAAUCUUAUAAAAACUGAAAGCAUCUCAAGUUUGAAAAAUACACAAUUAUAGGUAAUAAAACUACAGUAGACUACUGUUUUAUAGGCAAAAAGUGUUAGCUUAUUUGUACUAAUAGUUUGUUAAACUUUAUUUU